Molecule: unclassified non-coding RNA, 380 nt
Filed under: uncultured Alphaproteobacteria bacterium
Lineage: Bacteria; Pseudomonadati; Pseudomonadota; Alphaproteobacteria
Description: contains 16S-23S intergenic spacer region
Source: RNAcentral
UCCAGGUUAUCCCUGGCGGUCUCCUGAGAGUGCACACCUUUCGGUGUUAGCAACACAGGACAAGGGUUGCGCUCGUUGCGGGACUUAACCCAACAUCUCACGACACGAGCUGACGACAGCCAUGCAGCACCUGUGUUCCGACCUAUUGCUAGGAGGAAUCCAUCUCUGGAAACCGACCGGACAUGUCAAGGGCUGGUAAGGUUCUUCGCGUUGCGUCGAAUUAAACCACAUGCUCCACCGCUUGUGCGGGCCCCCGUCAAUCUCUUUGAGUUUUAACCUUGCGGCCGUACUCCCCAGGCGGAUAACUUAAUGCGUUAGCUGCGCCACCAAAAGCCCAUGGCCCCUGACAGCUAGUUAUCAUCGUUUACGGCGUGGACUAC